GACGAACGCUGGCGGCGCGCUUCAAACAUGCAAGUCGAACGUGAAGCCCGGAGCUUGCUCUGGGUGGAAAGUGGCGAACGGGUGAGGAACACGUGAGGAACCUGCCCCGAAGACCGGGAUAACUCCGGGAAACCGGAGCUAAUACCGGAUGUCCUCACCGGACCGCAUGAUCCGGUGAGGAAAUGGAUUCCGCUUCGGGAUGGUCUCGCGCACUAUCAGCUUGUUGGUGAGGUAAUGGCUCACCAAGGCUA
RNAcentral lists this ribosomal RNA (251 nucleotides) under uncultured Actinomycetes bacterium. RNAcentral describes it as "uncultured actinobacterium partial 16S ribosomal RNA". It matches the Rfam family "Bacterial small subunit ribosomal RNA", at positions 28 to 276 of the family's 1533-position model. Lineage: Bacteria; Bacillati; Actinomycetota; Actinomycetes. The record is from RNAcentral.